UAUGUUAGGGAGGAGCUUGCGUCACAUUAGUUAGUUGGUGGGGUAAAGGCCUACCAAGACUAUGAUGUGUAGCCGGGCUGAGAGGUUGAACGGCCACAUUGGGACUGAGACACGGCCCAAACUCCUACGGGAGGCAGCAGUAGGGAAUUUUCGGCAAUGGAGGAAACUCUGACCGAGCAACGCCGCGUGAACGAUGAAGUAUUUCGGUAUGUAAAGUUCUUUUAUUAGGGAAGAAUAAAUGAUGGAAAAAUCAUUCUGACUGUACCUAAUGAAUAAGCCCCGGCUAACUAUGUGCCAGCAGCCGCGGUAAUACAUAGGGGGCAAGCGUUAUCCGGAAUUAUUGGGCGUAAAGGGUGCGUAGGCGGUUAAAUAAGUUUAUGGUCUAAGUGCAAUGCUCAACAUUGUGAUGCUAUAAAAACUGUUUAGCUAGAGUAAGAUAGAGGCAAGUGGAAUUCCAUGUGUAGUGGUAAAAUGCGUAAAUAUAUGGAGGAACACCAGUAGCGAAGGCGGCUUGCUGGGUCUUUACUGACGCUGAGGCACGAAAGCGUGGGGAGCAAACAGGAUUAGAUACCCUGGUAGUCCACGCUGUAAACGAUGAGUACUAAACGUUGGGUAAAACCAGUGUUGAAGUUAACACAUUAAGUACUCCGCCUGAGUAGUACGUACGCAAGUAUGAAACUUAAAGGAAUUGACGGGACUCCGCACAAGCGGUGGAUCAUGUUGUUUAAUUCGAAGGUACCCGAAAAACCUCACCAGGUCUUGACAUGCUUCUGCAAAGUUGUAGAAAUACAGUGGAGGUUAUCAGUUGCACAGGUGGUGCAUGGUUGUCGUCAGCUCGUGUCGUGAGAUGUUGGGUUAAGUCCCGCAACGAGCGCAACCCUUAUUGUUAGUUACCAGCACGUAAUGGUGGGGACUUUAGCAAGACUGCCAGUGAUAAAUUGGAGGAAGGUGGGGACGACGUCAAAUCAUCAUGCCCCUUAUGACCUGGGCUACAAACGUGAUACAAUGGCUGUUACAAAGGGUA
Molecule: ribosomal RNA, 1024 nt
Filed under: uncultured bacterium
Lineage: Bacteria
Description: bacterial SSU rRNA
Rfam family: Bacterial small subunit ribosomal RNA
Source: RNAcentral